Molecule: ribosomal RNA, 256 nt
Filed under: uncultured Actinomycetales bacterium
Lineage: Bacteria; Bacillati; Actinomycetota; Actinomycetes; Actinomycetales
Description: partial 16S ribosomal RNA
Rfam family: Bacterial small subunit ribosomal RNA
Source: RNAcentral
CGUCUUCGGAGGUACUCGAGUGGCGAACGGGUGAGUAACACGUGAGUAACCUGCCCUUGACUUUGGGAUAACUUCAGGAAACUGGGGCUAAUACCGGAUAGGAGCUCCUGCUGCAUGGUGGGGGUUGGAAAGUUUUUCGGUGUAGGAUGAGCCCGCGGCCUAUCAGCUUGUUGGUGGGGUAAUGGCCUACCAAGGCGGCGACGGGUAGCCGGACUGAGAGGUUGGUCGGCCACAUUGGGACUAAGAUACGGCCCAG